This is a non-coding RNA of Manis javanica (Malayan pangolin), 816 nucleotides long. Lineage: Eukaryota; Metazoa; Chordata; Mammalia; Pholidota; Manidae. The record is from RefSeq and is a predicted model, not a curated record.
UUAUGUUACUGCAAGAACUCAGGCAUUUCAUCAGUAUUCUGCACACCAGCGGACACUCAGUAACGGUUGUUGACAGAUGAGACAAGAAAAAGUCUCACCAACAAACGGCAUUAACAGGUAAUGUUGCAAAUCAGUCACAGAACUAAGCGAAGAGGAAUGCGGAAUAGAAAGAGUAACAAUCUUUUGCCAAAUCGUACAUUCAGAGAAAAUUAAACCAGCACAGAUACUCCAAGAAAAAGACAAUUAGAAGAUACUUGGUAAGGCCCAAAAUAGCCACGAGGAAAAACACACACACACGCAAUUGCCACUUCCCCUACAGUUUGACAGUCACAGAUUUGGAUAAUUAUAGUAGAAAUUGUCUGCUUUGGAAACACACUAAGACCACACCCUGGGGCUGCGAAUCUGGACUUUAAAUGCUGAGAAUAAGCAGUAAAUUGGACGGUCUGCGCGCACAGGUGGAAGGGAGUGGGGGGGCAAAAAACACAGCGACUUCAACGCGAGUGACCAGAGGGCUGGGUGUCGAGGCGUGGCGGAGUCCGAAGGAGAAGGGGGUGUGGAUCUGGGGACGAGCACCGGCAGACGGCGUGCGGAGCGGCGGCUGCAGGCAGGAGAGGGAGCUGGCGGCGGGGGCGAACGUCUGCGCAGCAGGGGAAGAGCCGGGGAGCCAAAGUGACACACAGCCCUGCUUAUGCCUGAAAGACCUUCUAUGAAGUAUAAAAAGAUUGGCAAUGGAUGAAAUUACAUUUGAUGGCAUGGAAGUGAGUGAGGCCAGGAGACCUACGAACAAACAAGUGCUCUAUCACUAGGCAGCAAAGC